GAAUAUGCAAAUGUAUGACAAGCUCUACCAUUAUAGCCUUGUAAUCCAUAUUACAUUUGCUGUGGUUAAAUUAUUACUCAAUAGCACCAAAUUGAAAUCUUAAGGACUCAAAAGAAAUUGAUAUUUAAUCAGACGGGUUCUGAGCAAGAACUCAAAAACUUUAGGAAGUUUUUAUGGGGUUAUAUUUUAGGUACAUAUUUAAUGUUUUGAAUAUUUAUAUCAAUAAUUU
RNAcentral lists this unclassified non-coding RNA (229 nucleotides) under Hevea brasiliensis (rubber tree). The record is from RNAcentral. Lineage: Eukaryota; Viridiplantae; Streptophyta; Magnoliopsida; Malpighiales; Euphorbiaceae.